This 120-nucleotide non-coding RNA is filed under the name Yersinia frederiksenii. RNAcentral describes it as "Yersinia sRNA 100". It matches the Rfam family "Yersinia sRNA 100". Rfam says of the family: 5' located ORF: qor, 3' located ORF: pspG. Decreased expression in the crp mutant (in the stationary phase), suggesting CRP regulon is a regulator of the sRNA. The record is from RNAcentral. Lineage: Bacteria; Pseudomonadati; Pseudomonadota; Gammaproteobacteria; Enterobacterales; Yersiniaceae.
UUUUCAUCCCUGCCAGAGGAUAAAAUAGCCGUAUAAACGGCAAUGUCAUUUAAGUGAAUAUGCCUCUGACAGAAUACUCUGCUAUACCCCUACAUGUGCAUCAAAGAAAGCGUUAAAACA